GAGUUUGAUCCUGGCUCAGGACGAACGCUGGCGGCGUGCUUAACACAUGCAAGUCGAGCGAAGUUAUUCCUUCGGGGAUAACUUAGCGGCGGACGGGUGAGUAACACGUGGGUAACCUGCCUCGUAGAGGGGGAUAGCCUUCCGAAAGGAAGAUUAAUACCCCAUAACAUAGCAUUAUCGCAUGAUAAAGUUAUUAAAGGAGUAAUCCGCUAUGAGAUGGACCCGCGGCGCAUUAGCUAGUUGGUGAGGUAACGGCUCACCAAGGCCACGAUGCGUAGCCGACCUGAGAGGGUGAUCGGCCACAUUGGGACUGAGACACGGCCUAGACUCCUACGGGAGGCAGCAGUGGGGAAUAUUGCACAAUGGGCGAAAGCCUGAUGCAGCAACGCCGCGUGAGUGAUGAAGGCCUUCGGGUCGUAAAGCUCUGUCUUCGGGGACGAUAAUGACGGUACCCGAGGAGGAAGCCACGGCUAACUACGUGCCAGCAGCCGCGGUAAUACGUAGGUGGCAAGCGUUGUCCGGAUUUACUGGGCGUAAAGGGAGCGUUGGCGGAUACUUAAGUGGGAUGUGAAAUACCCGGGCUCAACCCGGGUGCUGCAUUCCAAACUGGGUAUCUAGAGUGUGGGAGAGGAAAGUGGAAUUCCUAGUGUAGCGGUGAAAUGCGUAGAGAUUAGGAAGAACACCAGUGGCGAAGGCGACUUUCUGGACCAUAACUGACGCUGAGGCUCGAAAGCGUGGGGAGCAAACAGGAUUAGAUACCCUGGUAGUCCACGCCGUAAACGAUGGAUACUAGGUGUGGGGGAUACCAAUCCUCCGUGCCGUCGUUAACACACUAAGUAUCCCGCCUGGGGAGUACGAUCGCAAGAUUAAAACUCAAGGAAUUGACGGAAGGCGAAUUCGUUUAAAC
Molecule: ribosomal RNA, 907 nt
Filed under: uncultured bacterium
Lineage: Bacteria
Description: bacterial SSU rRNA
Rfam family: Bacterial small subunit ribosomal RNA
Source: RNAcentral